This 95-nucleotide non-coding RNA is filed under the name human gut metagenome. RNAcentral describes it as "yjdF RNA". It matches the Rfam family "azaaromatic riboswitch aptamer (yjdF RNA)", at positions 6 to 91 of the family's 101-position model. The record is from RNAcentral.
CGGAGAUAAAAACACGGCCCGGUCGGUAGUCCGGGCGCGGCGGGGCGUCCCACCCGCCGCCAGUAACCUGCCUCCUUGGUUGUCCGUUCUCCGCG